UCGGGAAUUUUGGGCAAUGGGCGAAAGCCUGACCCAGCAACGCCGCGUGAAGGAUGAAAUCUUUCGGGAUGUAAACUUCGGAAGAAUAGGAAGAAUAAAAUGACGGUACUAUUUUUAAGGUCCGGCCAACUACGUGCCAGCAGCCGCGGUGACACGUAGGCACCAAGCGUUGUCCGGAUUUAUUGGGCGUAAAGAGCUCGUAGGCGGUUCAGUAAGUCGGGUGUGAAAACUUUGGGCUUAACCCAAAGCGUGCAUCCGAUACUGCUGUGACUUGAGUACGGUAGGGGAGCGGGGAAUUCCUAGUGUAGCGGUGAAAUGCGCAGAUAUUAGGAGGAACACCGGUGGCGAAGGCGCCGCUCUGGGCCGAAACUGACGCUGAGGAGCGAAAGCAUGGGUAGCAAACAGGAUUAGAUACCCAGGUAGUCCCUGAGCGGGCUGGCAAGGCGCAU
Molecule: ribosomal RNA, 449 nt
Filed under: uncultured bacterium
Lineage: Bacteria
Description: bacterial SSU rRNA
Rfam family: Bacterial small subunit ribosomal RNA
Source: RNAcentral